Molecule: ribosomal RNA, 727 nt
Filed under: uncultured archaeon
Lineage: Archaea
Description: bacterial SSU rRNA
Rfam family: Archaeal small subunit ribosomal RNA
Source: RNAcentral
GGAGGGCAGUUCGGCUGCCCCACGAACGGCUCAGUAACACGUAGUCAACCUACCCUUGGGUCGGGUAUAACCCCGGGAAACUGGGGAUAAUCCCCGAUAGGUGAGGGCACUGGAAAAGUCCCUCUCCCAAAGCUCAGGCGCCCAAGGACGGGACUGCGGCCCAUCAGGUAGUUGGCGGGGUAAAGGCCCACCAAGCCGACAACGGGUACGGGCUGUGAGAGCAGGAGCCCGGAGAUGGAGACUGAGACAAGGCUCCAGGCCCUACGGGGCGCAGCAGGUGCGAAAACUUCGCAAUGCGCGAAAGCGUGACGAGGGAAACCCAAGUGCCGAUGGUCUUUCUGAUCGUCGGCUUUUCAAGAGUUUAAAACGCUCCUGGAAUAAGAGCUGGGCAAGACUGGUGCCAGCCGCCGCGAUAACACCAGCAGCUCAAGUGGUGGUCACUAUUAUUGGGCCUAAAGCGUCCGUAGCCGGACCAGUAAGUCCCUUGUGAAAUCGGACGGCUUAACCGUUCGGCUUGCAAGGGGAACUACAGGCCUCGAGGCCGGGAGACGUCGAGGGUACCCCGGGGGUAGCGGUGAAAUGCUGUAAUCCCUGGGGGACUACCAGUGGCGGAGGCGCUCGACGGGAACGGACCUGACGGUGAGGGACGAAGGCUGGGGGAGCGAACCGGAUUAGAUACCCGGGUAGUCCCAGCUGUAAAGUAUGCUGGCCAGGUGUAGGGUGCUCC